GAUGAACGCUGGCGGCGUGCCUAAUACAUGCAAGUCGAGCGAACAGAUGAGGAGCUUGCUCCUCUGACGUUAGCGGCGGACGGGUGAGUAACACGUGGAUAACCUACCUAUAAGACUGGGAUAACUUCGGGAAACCGGAGCUAAUACCGGAUAAUAUAUUCAACCGCAUGGUUCAAUAGUGAAAGACGGUUUUGCUGUCACUUAUAGAUGGAUCCGCGCCGCAUUAGCUAGUUGGUAAGGUAACGGCUUACCAAGGCAACGAUGCGUAGCCGACCUGAGAGGGUGAUCGGCCAAACUGGAACUGAGACACGGUCCAGACUCCUACGGGAGGCAGCAGUGGGGAAUAUUCCGCAAUGGGCGAAAGCCUGACGGAGCAACGCCGCGUGAGUGAUGAAGGUCUUCGGAUCGUAAAACUCUGUUAUUAGGGAAGAACAAAUGUGUAAGUAACUAUGCACGUCUUGACGGUACCUAAUCAGAAAGCAACGGCUAACUACGUG
This 497-nucleotide ribosomal RNA is filed under the name uncultured bacterium. RNAcentral describes it as "partial 16S ribosomal RNA". It matches the Rfam family "Bacterial small subunit ribosomal RNA", at positions 28 to 507 of the family's 1533-position model. The record is from RNAcentral.